RNAcentral lists this ribosomal RNA (1457 nucleotides) under uncultured bacterium. Its description in RNAcentral is "bacterial SSU rRNA". It matches the Rfam family "Bacterial small subunit ribosomal RNA". The record is from RNAcentral.
AUUGAACGCUGGCGGCAUGCCUUACACAUGCAAGUCGAACGCGAAAGCGGGGCAACCCGCAAGUAGAGUGGCGAACGGGUGAGUAAUACAUCGGAACAUAUCCAGUAGCGGGGGAUAACCUGUCGAAAGAUAGGCUAAUACCGCAUACGAUCUACGGAUGAAAGCAGGGGACCGCAAGGCCUUGCACUAUUGGAGUGGCCGAUGUCGGAUUAGCUAGUUGGUGGGGUAAAAGCCUACCAAGGCGACGAUCCGUAGCUGGUCUGAGAGGACGAUCAGCCACACUGGAACUGAGACACGGUCCAGACUCCUACGGGAGGCAGCAGUGGGGAAUUUUGGACAAUGGGCGAAAGCCUGAUCCAGCCAUGCCGCGUGAGUGAAGAAGGCCUUCGGGUUGUAAAGCUCUUUCGGUGAAGACGAAACGGUUAGUGUUAAUAACACUGACUAAUGACGGUACUCACAGAAGAAGCACCGGCUAACUACGUGCCAGCAGCCGCGGUAAUACGUAGGGUGCAGGCGUUAAUCGGAAUUACUGGGCGUAAAGCGUGCGCAGGCGGUUUGUUAAGACAGGUGUGAAAUCCCCGGGCUUAACCUGGGAAUUGCGCUUGUAACUGGCAAGCUAGAGUGUGGCAGAGGGGGGUGGAAUUCCACGUGUAGCAGUGAAAUGCGUAGAUAUGUGGAGGAACACCGAUGGCGAAGGCAGCCCCCUGGGUUAACACUGACGCUCAUGCACGAAAGCGUGGGGAGCAAACAGGAUUAGAUACCCUGGUAGUCCACGCCCUAAACUAUGUCAACUAGUUGUCGGGGAAGAAAUUCCUUGGUAACGAAGCUAACGCGUGAAGUUGACCGCCUGGGGAGUACGGCCGCAAGGUUAAAACUCAAAGGAAUUGACGGGGACCCGCACAAGCGGUGGAUUAUGUGGAUUAAUUCGAUGCAACGCGAAAAACCUUACCUACCCUUGACAUGCUAGGAAGCCCGCAGAGAUGUGGGUGUGCCCGAAAGGGAACCUAGACACAGGUGCUGCAUGGCUGUCGUCAGCUCGUGUCGUGAGAUGUUGGGUUAAGUCCCGCAACGAGCGCAACCCUUGUCGUUAAUUGCCAUCAUUUAGUUGGGCACUUUAACGAGACCGCCGGUGACAAACCGGAGGAAGGUGGGGAUGACGUCAAGUCCUCAUGGCCCUUAUGGGUAGGGCUUCACACGUAAUACAAUGGUCGGUACAGAGGGCUGCCAACCCGCAAGGGGGAGCUAAUCCCAGAAAGCCGAUCGUAGUCCGGAUUGUAGUCUGCAACUCGACUGCAUGAAGCCGGAAUCGCUAGUAAUCGCGGAUCAGCAUGUCGCGGUGAAUACGUUCCCGGGUCUUGUACACACCGCCCGUCACACCAUGGGAGUGGGUUCCACCAGAAGUAGUUAGCCUAACCGCAAGGAGGGCGAUUACCACGGUGAGAUUCAUGACUGGGGUG